CCGCAUACGCUCUACGGAGGAAAGAGGGGGCUUCGGCUCUCGCUAUUGGAUGGGCCUGCGCGAGAUUAGCUAGUUGGUGAGGUAAUGCUCACCAAGGCGACGAUCUCUAGCUGGUCUGAGAGGAUGAUCAGCCACACUGGACUGAGACACGGCCCAGACUCCUACGGGAGGCAGCAGUGGGGAAUAUUGCACAAUGGGCGCAAGCCUGAUGCAGCCAUGCCGCGUGUGUGAAGAAGGCUUUCGGGUUGUAAAGCACUUUCAGUGGGGAGGAAGGCCUCGUAGUUAAUAGCUGCGAGGAUUGACGUUACCCACAGAAGAAGCACCGGCUAACUCCGUG
Molecule: ribosomal RNA, 337 nt
Filed under: uncultured bacterium
Lineage: Bacteria
Description: bacterial SSU rRNA
Rfam family: Bacterial small subunit ribosomal RNA
Source: RNAcentral